GGACUACUGGGGUAUCUAAUCCUGUUUGCUCCCCUAGCUUUCGUGCCUCAGUGUCAGAAGUCGUCCAGGGACUCGCUUUCGCCACUGGUGUUCCUCUCGAUCUCUACGCAUUUCACUGCUACACCGAGAAUUCCAGUCCCCCCUCCGACUCUCAAGCCAGAUAGUAUUCAAUGCAGUUUCGGGGUUAAGCCCCGAGAUUUCACAUCAAACUUACCUGGCCACCUACGCACCCUUUACGCCCAGUGAAUCCGAACAACGCUUGGGACCUCUGUAUUACCGCGGCUGCUGGCAC
RNAcentral lists this ribosomal RNA (292 nucleotides) under uncultured Verrucomicrobiota bacterium. Its description in RNAcentral is "uncultured Verrucomicrobia bacterium partial 16S ribosomal RNA". The record is from RNAcentral. Lineage: Bacteria; Pseudomonadati; Verrucomicrobiota.